Nelumbo nucifera (sacred lotus) is the source of this 572-nucleotide long non-coding RNA. RefSeq lists it as uncharacterized. The record is from RefSeq and is a predicted model, not a curated record. Lineage: Eukaryota; Viridiplantae; Streptophyta; Magnoliopsida; Proteales; Nelumbonaceae.
UAGAAACCUUCUUACACAACAACAAAGUUCGUAUAUAGCGGCGGAAUUCUUAGCGGCACUAAGAAAAACGCCGCUAUAUAUUCAUUUUUUAGCAGCGAAUAGAAAAAAUCCGCUGCUCCAGGUAUGAUUACUUACGGUGGCUGAUGCAUAUUUGCCGCUGGAUAAGAGAUACACCGAAAAAUAAAAAAAGGCCCGCUAAAUCUUCUCUCCCGCGCAAACAAAUCCCGUAACUUCUUUCGUCUUCCCUCAAACCUCACCAGCAAAAUCCCUUUCACAUUCUUCUUUGAGCAUAUUCGCAUUUUCCUAUUUUCUUCGGCAGCUGAGAAGCAUCAAACGAAUUAAGAGACCAUCAAACCUUCUCUUUGCCGAUUCUAGGUUUUCAACCCUCAUCUCUUGUCACUCCUUCGGCAGCUGGGGAACCGAACUGAACCCAUCUCCGGCGAGGUGGAACCAAUACAAGAAUGAUAGAAGGCUUUGUUGAAGAUAUUGAAGAUACAAUCUUUUUUUGAAUUAUUAUUAUAUGUAACAAGAAUUUUGUACAUUUUCCACAUCAUUAUUAUGCGGAACUCACA